UACGUAGGUGGCAAGCAUUAUCCGGAUUUAUUGGGUGUAAAGGGCGUGUAGGCGGGAGCGCAAGUCAGAUGUGAAAACUCAGGGCUCAACCCUGAGCCUGCAUUUGAAACUGUGUUUCUUGAGUGCUGGAGAGGCAAUCGGAAUUCCGUGUGUAGCGGUGAAAUGCGUAGAUAUACGGAGGAACACCAGUGGCGAAGGCGGAUUGCUGGACAGUAACUGACGCUGAGGCGCGAAAGCGUGGGGAGCAAACAGG
RNAcentral lists this ribosomal RNA (253 nucleotides) under uncultured bacterium. RNAcentral describes it as "partial 16S ribosomal RNA". It matches the Rfam family "Bacterial small subunit ribosomal RNA", at positions 524 to 776 of the family's 1533-position model. The record is from RNAcentral.